UAGCUGCAAGGUACGGAGUAUCUUCCCUGCAGAUUGCAAAUCUGCUGCUGCAAGCUUCCCCUCUUCCCCAUUUGCCCCCCUUUCUCAUCUUCUUUCUCUGUCAAAUGCUUACCAUGGCAGCUAUAAAAACCCAAACGGUGAUCAGCCAUUGGCACUGCUUGAGUCAUCGAGUAAUCCCUCCGAUAGUCUUCUCGAAACACCCAUCUUUUGUUGAGGUUUUGGUGUCAU
This 228-nucleotide long non-coding RNA is filed under the name Lotus japonicus. RNAcentral's name for it is "long non-coding RNA (LJAP_LNC001805)". Lineage: Eukaryota; Viridiplantae; Streptophyta; Magnoliopsida; Fabales; Fabaceae. The record is from RNAcentral.